GUGAGUCAUCGAAUCUUUGAACGCACAUUGCGCCUUCUGGUAUUCCGGGAGGCAUGCCUGUUCGAGCGUCAUCAAACACAUUCUCCAGCACUUUUGCUUGGUAUUGGAGGAAGAUGUCUUGCAUCUCCUCUCAAAUUCCUCAGCGGAAACUACUACAGUCUCAGGUGUCAUAAGAUUACCUUUCGCUUGACAACUGUCGGUAGGUUCUUGCUGUGAAGAGCCCCCCAGCUAUUCUUUUGAGUUUGACCUCGAAUCAGGUAGGGAUACCCGCUGAACUUAAGCAUAUCAAUAAGCGGAGGA
This 300-nucleotide unclassified non-coding RNA is filed under the name Sarcosomataceae sp. RNAcentral's name for it is "partial contains 5.8S ribosomal RNA, internal transcribed spacer 2, and large subunit ribosomal RNA". The stretch from base 1 to 71 matches the Rfam family "5.8S ribosomal RNA", at positions 84 to 154 of the family's 154-position model. Lineage: Eukaryota; Fungi; Ascomycota; Pezizomycetes; Pezizales; Sarcosomataceae. The record is from RNAcentral.